Molecule: long non-coding RNA, 3469 nt
Organism: Bubalus bubalis (water buffalo)
Lineage: Eukaryota; Metazoa; Chordata; Mammalia; Artiodactyla; Bovidae
Exons: 3
Source: RefSeq, a predicted model, not a curated record
GUGUACAUACACAUAAAAAGUAGAACAAUAAAAUAAUGCAUCUUCUUCUAAAGGUGCUGUUGAACCAGGAUCCACUGAUAUAAUUUUUUUAAAUUUAUAUUGUGCUUUAAUAUCUAGCAGUGCAGCUCAAGUAAUUACUCUUGGAGUUGUGCUAAAUCAAUAUGCUUUCUUGGAAAAAACAUACUUCUGUAAUAGUCAUUCUUCUCACUCUGUUAUGUGGGAUAUAUAGUCAUUUAUUUUUAUGAUUUUAUAUAUAUGUUUUCUUUGAACUCUCAGUAAAUUUUGUUACAUUCCUCAUAUACUCAAUUUUUAAUUUAUUCUUCAUAUAUUCAUUUUUAACAUUAAGGUUAUAUCUGGAUGUUUUGAAAUGGAGCAAAACCUUAUGUAUUUUUCUGUUAGCUACUUUGGGGAGGACAGGAAAGCCUGCUACUUUAGUACAUUUAUCUUUAACCAGCCAUUUUACUAAACAUCAUGAAGAUAAUCAGUUUUUAAUUAUCUUGGGAUUUCUUGAUAGACAAUUACAUCAUCUCCAAAUAAUGCUUUUUGUUUUCUCUUUGUCUUUAAUAAUGUUCCUAUAUCCGUACUAGAAUUGUAUUAACUAAUAUAAUGGUGGAGAGAUCCUUGUUCUGUUUCUGAUUUUGAUGGGAUCCUGCCACUUAGUUUAGUUAUUUGUCCAGUAAUGCUGGUGCUUAUUAAAUGACAUAAUUCAUGUUUUGGGUGAAUUCUCUAGGUAGCUAUUAAGUUCCUGUGAAUUAGGCCAACCUCUGCCAAUACAGCUAACUCUCUGGGUCUCGUUUCAGCAUCCGCUGCCACUAAUCAAGGAACUUGGUCAGGGCCAAAAAAAAAAAGCUGUCUUAUGUGGAUUUUGUGAAGACCAUAACAGACUGGGGCUGCUUCUCUCUGGAUAUGGCCAGGUGUCUAGAAACUUCUGCCCUCCCACAAACCACAAAAGAAUCUUGACUAAGCAAAGAACAGAAAGUGGGUCUUCUAAAAAAUUCUGUGCAAAGAUACUAAUAGCACCUAUUACCCUCUGCAGUAUACUUUUCUCCUACUCCUAUUACAGUUCAGUUCCUCACUCAGGUCAGAGUUAGUCAUUGAAAAAUGCCCAGUCCAAUUCUAGGCCUACACAAGCCACCCAAGUUGGGAAUCCAAAGGACUCAAUAGCAGUGCCAAGGGCAAGGGUGUGACUGAACAUUCACAAGUCGGGCGGCUUUAUUUCCCUCCCCAGUCUCCAUCAGAUUCCCCCCACCAUUUUUUUAUGUGCACCAAUAAUAUUUUGUCAAGAUAAUAUCAAUUUAUUGGCCAACAUAUCUCUGAGGCCCUCCAAAGCCACCAAAUAGGUCACUGUUCUUAAGUUCCUUCUGGAGCUGCUAUGGGAAGAACUGAAAAUAUGGAGAGGGCCACCUUGAGUCAUUGCCAUCAUGAGAAAUUUUCCAGAAAGCCUUUUGAGAUGUCAAAAUACCUUCAACUUGCCCUCUUUUCUGAAAGGAUCCUUAGCCAUCUUUGAGCCUGCAUCAAUAAACUCAUAUAACCUUUUUGGAGUCAAACCACUGGGGCCUGGGAGGGCAUGUGCCGUGAGCUAAUUGUAUGUGAGACCAUGAGUGGGCUUUGCAGAGACUCAACCCAAAGUCUCCAAGCCAACACAAGCUCCAUGAACCAAGAGGAGGGGGAAAGGGACAUGCACAGGUGUUUAUCCUCCCCUGGAUCCUCAUAAUCCUAGCUCUAUACUGGACAACGUGUUUUUGCUAGCUCUGAAAUCUGAGGAUAGUACCUCCUUGUUAGGUUAGUGUUUCUAAGACACUGAGAGCUCAUGACAGCCAAGGACGGGGAGAGCAGCCGACUUGUCUCAUGAGUAAUGGCUACUUGCAAGGCUUUCUUUGGUGAUAGCGGGGAAGCAACACCUCAGGUACCAUGGAGUACUCUCCAUGGAGCGUUGGGUCUCUAGAAAGCAUUAUACUUCAAGUAAAAUGGUUAUGAGCAAGUGGACCUCAGAAUGACUUAAACAACAUUUUAAUCUACUUGAACCUGGUUCUGAUGAAAACAGGGAAGUAUGAGUCUAACCCAGUCCUCCACUGGGACCAACUCAGAUGUGCCCUGGAAGAUUUGAAAAGAAGCACAGCUGUGGACCCAGGAGUGAAUUUCUGAUUUACUUGCAGGAAAUAACCACAUUCUUUUUCAUCUCAUUCGAGAGAGACAUUCCUGUUAAAAUCACAGCUUUAAAUGUAGCCUAUAGAAGCAAGAAGAAGUGUCAGUGGAAUGCAUUGAUAUUUCUCAGUUUAGAAGAGAGUGAAUAGUUAAAUUUAGCCUUAUCAAAAAAAAAUGCUUCACUUACUCCUGUUCAAGGAAUUUUAGUAACUCUAACAUAGGAUAAAGCAGUGGAGCCGUUCACAGGAGACCCCCAUGACCAUUGUGAAACGGGGAGGAUUAAUAUCUAUGCACACGUGCAGCCCACUCAGGACCAGGGGAAUCUCGAUGCUUCAGGUUUGGUUACAGCAGGGGUCCCCAACCUUUUUGGUACCAGGGACUGGUUUCAUGCAAGACAACUUUUCCACUGGCUGGGGUUGGGGGGCAUGGUUUUGGGAUGAUUCAAGCACAUUAAACUUAUGGUGCACUGUAUUUCUAUGAGUAUUACAUCGGCUCCACCUCAGAUCAUCAGAUAUUAGGUCCCAGAGCUUGGGGACUCCUGUUGUGGCAGGACUACGGAGCAGUUUUACAGCAGGUGUUUUCAACUUUGGCUGCACACUGGACUCACCUGAGGAAUUUUAAAAUACUGAUGCUGAGGUCCCACCCCCUGACCCUCAAGAUCCUAAUUUAGUUGGCCUGGGUGUGGCCUGAGAGCCAGGAGUUUCCAAAGUUCCCAAGGUGAUAGUGAUGCACGACUCCAGUUGAGAAGCCCUGUAGAGACGUUGAGAAGCAGGGCUCACUACCCUGUGUUUGCAAAUAAAGUUUCUUUGGAAUAUAGCCACCCUUAAUGUAUAUGUUGCCUGUGGCUGCUUUCCAGCUAUGAUGGCAGAGUUGAGUAGGUGCAAUGGAGGCCUUAAAACCUGCAAUGCCAAACAUCUUUACUACUUGGUCCUUGAGGAGCUACUUUGAAGAGAAACUUUAGGAAGACGUUCAUUGUCAUGUGAAAAGCCACUUUCAAGGGAUGCUUGCUCAAGUCAUCCACGACAUCUGGAAACUCAAGAUACUUGUUGGAUGCUUACCCUAGAACAGCUCGUUGCAGCCUACAUUUAAGGGAACUACCAGUCCUCCCUUCACUUCAAAUAGCCUAUUCAUCUCAGCAUAAAAACGACUAAAAUACACCCAAAGAAUAUGCUGCAUCUGCACCCAAGAAGCGGACAGCAGGAGUCAGCUUCUACCAACAGGCACCAAUAUAGCAGGCUUUGAAAAGCUCCAUCCAAAACAAAGACUCUAAAAAACUCUUAAAUAUUUAUUUUUAAAAAACAGCAAUUAUUUGGUUUCACUUCUA